RNAcentral lists this ribosomal RNA (427 nucleotides) under uncultured bacterium. RNAcentral's name for it is "partial 16S ribosomal RNA". It matches the Rfam family "Bacterial small subunit ribosomal RNA", at positions 355 to 774 of the family's 1533-position model. The record is from RNAcentral.
UGGGGAAUAUUGGACAAUGGGCGAAAGCCUGAUCCAGCCAUGCCGCGUGUGUGAAGAAGGUCUUCGGAUUGUAAAGCACUUUAAGUUGGGAGGAAGGGCAUUAACCUAAUACGUUAGUGUUUUGACGUUACCGACAGAAUAAGCACCGGCUAACUCUGUGCCAGCAGCCGCGGUAAUACAGAGGGUGCAAGCGUUAAUCGGAAUUACUGGGCGUAAAGCGCGCGUAGGUGGUUUGUUAAGUUGGAUGUGAAAUCCCCGGGCUCAACCUGGGAACUGCAUUCAAAACUGACUGACUAGAGUAUGGUAGAGGGUGGUGGAAUUUCCUGUGUAGCGGUGAAAUGCGUAGAUAUAGGAAGGAACACCAGUGGCGAAGGCGACCACCUGGACUAAUACUGACACUGAGGUGCGAAAGCGUGGGGAUCAAACA